This 243-nucleotide ribosomal RNA is filed under the name uncultured bacterium. RNAcentral describes it as "partial 16S ribosomal RNA". It matches the Rfam family "Bacterial small subunit ribosomal RNA", at positions 532 to 774 of the family's 1533-position model. The record is from RNAcentral.
UGGCAAGCGUUGUCCGGAUUUAUUGGGCGUAAAGCGAGUGCAGGCGGUUCAAUAAGGCUGAUGUGAAAACCUUUGGCUCAACCGGGGAAUUGCAUCAGAAACUGUUGAACUUGAGUGCAGAAGAGGAGAGUGGAACUCCAUGUGUAGCGGUGGAAUGCGUAGAUAUAUGGAAGAACACCAGUGGCGAAGGCGGCUCUCUGGUCUGCAACUGACGCUGAGGUUCGAAAGCGUGGGUAGCAAACA